AUGGUCUGUCCUUUUGUAUUUUUCAAUAAUGAGCUGGUCCGUACCAAGACUCUGGUGAAGAAUUGCAUCGUGCUCAUCGACAGCACACCAUACCGACAGUGGUACGAGUCCCACUACGCGCUGCCCCUGGGCCGCAAGAAGGGAGCCAAGCUGACUCCUGAGGAAGAAGAGAUUUUAAACAAAAAACGAUCUAAAAAAAAUUCAGAAGAAAUAUGAUGAAAGGAAAAAGAAUGCCAAAAUCAGCAGUCUCCUGGAGGAGCAGUUCCAGCAGGGCAAGCUUCUUGCAUGCAUUGCUUCCAGGCCGGGACAGUGUGGCCGAGCAGAUGGCUAUGUGCUAGAGGGCAAAGAGUUGGAGUUCUAUCUUAGGAAAAUCAAGGCCCGGAAAGGCAAAUAAAUCCUCGUUUUGUCUUCACCCGUGUAAUAAAGGUGUUUAUUGUUCUAUUCCC
This is an RNA transcript of Rhinopithecus roxellana (golden snub-nosed monkey), 446 nucleotides long. It is a transcript of the gene named 40S ribosomal protein S8 pseudogene, with no coding region annotated. The record is from RefSeq and is a predicted model, not a curated record. NCBI's taxonomy places the organism in Eukaryota, Metazoa, Chordata, Mammalia, Primates, Cercopithecidae. The transcript has 2 exons.